GAGUAAUGCUUGGGAAUCUGGCUUAUGGAGGGGGAUAACUACGGGAAACUGUAGCUAAUACCGCGUAAAAUCUUCGGAUUAAAGGGUGGGACUUUCGAGCCACCUGCCAUAAGAUGAGCCCAAGUGGGAUUAGGUAGUUGGUUAGGUAAAGGCUGACCAAGCCGACGAUCUCUAGCUGGUCUGAGAGGAUGACCAGCCACACUGGAACUGAGACACGGUCCAGACUCCUACGGGAGGCAGCAGUGGGGAAUAUUGCACAAUGGGGGGAACCCUGAUGCAGCCAUGCCGCGUGAAUGAAGAAGGCCUUCGGGUUGUAAAGUUCUUUCGGUGACGAGGAAGGUUGAUAGGUUAAUAGCCUAUCAAAUUGACGUUAAUCACAGAAGAAGCACCGGCUAACUCCGUGCCAGCAGCCGCGGUAAUACGGNGGGUGCGAGCGUUAAUCGGAAUAACUGGGCGUAAAGGGCACGCAGGCGGUGACUUAAGUGAGNUGUGAAAGCCCCGNGCUUAACNUGGGAAUUGCAUUUCAUACUGGGUCGCUAGAGUACUUUAGGGAGGGGUAGAAUUCCACGUGUAGCGGUGAAAUGCGUAGAGAUGUGGAGGAAUACCGAAGGCGAAGGCAGCCCCUUGGGAAUGUACUGACGCUCAUGUGCGAAAGCGUGGGGAGCAAACAGGAUUAGAUACCCUGGUAGUCCACGCUGUAAACGAUGUCGAUUUGGGGNUUGNNCUUUNAGNUUGGNGCCCGUAGCUAACGUGAUAAAUCGACCGCCUGGGGAGUACGGCCGCAAGGUUAAAACUCAAAUGAAUUGACGGGGGCCCGCACAA
RNAcentral lists this ribosomal RNA (822 nucleotides) under metagenome. RNAcentral's name for it is "bacterial SSU rRNA". It matches the Rfam family "Bacterial small subunit ribosomal RNA", at positions 108 to 928 of the family's 1533-position model. The record is from RNAcentral.